AUGUUAAUGGCAUACUUUGGGCAGUGUGGGCAGUCAGUCAGCCUUAUGGAAACUUUAUUAAAGGGAAGAUGUUUUCCAGGCUUUGUUUUUUCUCAUGGACUGAACAUCAUUGGAGACCAGAAGAAAACCAGGAUGUCCCCGGACCUAAGACACAGGCUGUAUUCAUGGAAGUAUACACAUAGGCAAACCAAAAAGGAAAGAAAAAUAAAUAAAUAACCAACUCAGCAACACAGAUUUUUGGACUUCCUGCAGAUAAUUGAAAAAAAAAUAAAUAAAUAAAUUGGGAUGCCA
RNAcentral lists this long non-coding RNA (291 nucleotides) under Anser cygnoides (Swan goose). Its description in RNAcentral is "lncRNA (ENSACDG00005012521.1)". Lineage: Eukaryota; Metazoa; Chordata; Aves; Anseriformes; Anatidae. The record is from RNAcentral.